UUUAUUUAAUACAAUCUGACUCAAUACAAACAAAGAAAAAGACCAAUACGUCCUAAGUCGUGCCGAAAAUCCGGCAGAGUCUCCCCUAUACCUAGGACCUACCCAACCUGCAAAAGGGUUCAAAAUAUACUUCUAUAUUCACAACCCAUAUAUCCACAACUCAAUCACAUCACACAGCCCCUCCUGGGCCCAUCAAAUCAAUCAUCCAUCACAAUAUGUAAAAUUUCAAUUUAGUCCUUAUAAUUGAUCAUUUUUGCAAAAACUGCCCAAACAAGCUCUAAAAAUUAUAAAACUUUGCCCCGCGGUCCUUAGCAAUAUUACUAAGCUAUUGCAAAAAGAAUCGUAAUUUUCUAAGCUACCACGAAUAUUUUAUGGAUUUUUAAUCCUAUUUAAGCACUAGAAAAUUACGAAAAAGCAAGGUUCGGGUUUACCUUUGCCGAUUCCGACUUCGGGAACGCGCUCGGGACGUCUGACAAUGAGGGGCUAGCCAAAACCUCGGCCCAAUUCGGAGACUUUUCCGGUCACGGGUCUGUCUGGCCCGAAAUUU
RNAcentral lists this unclassified non-coding RNA (547 nucleotides) under Hevea brasiliensis (rubber tree). The record is from RNAcentral. Lineage: Eukaryota; Viridiplantae; Streptophyta; Magnoliopsida; Malpighiales; Euphorbiaceae.